GCUUUCAUGGUGUAACGGUAGCACAUUCGGCGCGUAUUCGAGAGGUCUAGGUUCGAGUCCCGGUGAGAGCA
Molecule: transfer RNA, 71 nt
Filed under: Stegodyphus mimosarum
Lineage: Eukaryota; Metazoa; Arthropoda; Arachnida; Araneae; Eresidae
Rfam family: tRNA
About the family: Transfer RNA (tRNA) molecules are approximately 80 nucleotides in length.
Source: Rfam by way of RNAcentral